AUAAGCCAACACCACAAAUAUAUUUCCUUGUAUUGUCAUGCCUGCUCUGUUUUGGCCAGUUGGAUUAGGACGUAAAAGGGGCUCAAAAGACAAAACAUCAGGGAAGAAAUGGAGCAACCCCAUUGUGUUCUGUUGUACAACAGGGACAUCCUGCUCUUGAGAUUAAUAUUAUGUAAGAAUCAAAGGGGAGGCUCUCUCAGAAACCCCCUGUAGUCCAG
This is a non-coding RNA of Pelobates cultripes (western spadefoot toad), 218 nucleotides long. The record is from the annotation of a GenBank genome assembly. Lineage: Eukaryota; Metazoa; Chordata; Amphibia; Anura; Pelobatidae.